CAGAUGUGUUCCUGGUGUGGAGAAAGUGCCAGGGUGGCUCAGCGAAGAAAAAAGAAUUCUUGUGGUGCUAUCAAGCAAGGCUUCAUUUGAGGGAAAAGUAGGAUUUCUGUAGGUGGAAAACGAGAAGACAUUGAUUUGAAACUCCCUGGUUGUUUUAUAAACUUCAUAUUAACUAUGUCCACAGAGCCUCCAAAAGGAUAGAAUUCAAAAGGGAUUUUAACCAAAAUGAAAUAUGUUGUGACUAAUAGAUACAGUUUAUUUGAAUGAAUGAUAGUUUUUCCCAUUUGAUAUUUUAACUGUGCUACACAAGAAUGAGAGUAGACGUAGCUCGAUUUGUAGUCUCAUUGUUCUGUCUUUUCUGCCCAUUUCAGUGACCCAGGACUCUUUGUUUAUUGCUGUGAUUUUUCUUCCACAGCUAUAGAACUGGUCCAGACAAAUUCAGAAUAUGAUCCUUCUCGGUGUUUUGCCUUUGUUCACGACCUGUGUGAUGAAGAGAAGAGUUACCCAGUGCCCAAGGGCAGUCUUGAUAUUAUCAUUCUCAUAUUUGUUCUUUCAGCAAUUGUUCCAGACAA
RNAcentral lists this small RNA (572 nucleotides) under Pan troglodytes (chimpanzee). RNAcentral's name for it is "retained intron". The record is from RNAcentral. Lineage: Eukaryota; Metazoa; Chordata; Mammalia; Primates; Hominidae.